Molecule: long non-coding RNA, 4182 nt
Organism: Hordeum vulgare subsp. vulgare (domesticated barley)
Lineage: Eukaryota; Viridiplantae; Streptophyta; Magnoliopsida; Poales; Poaceae
Exons: 2
Source: RefSeq, a predicted model, not a curated record
UAAUUUAUUUACAGAUGUUGCAAAUUAAUGAUUUUCCAAACUUGAAGCCCAGUCUCAUGGAUACGUGGAUUAAAGGACAAAAUGCAUUUCAAUUAAUUUCCAAACAUAGAUUAAAGGGACGAAAUGGUGUGAACAUUCCAAUCAAUUUCUGUAUCUCCCCCUAAUGUCAAGAAAAGCUCCUCAUAAAUAUGCAAUCAUGACGGGUUGUGAACAGAUCCAUAGUAAGGUGUUUAAUAUAGUUGAUAAUCGAUGGCGAUUUAUACCCCUAAUGAAUCCCCAGUUUUCUAUGUGGAUCCAUAGAUGUCCGCUAUGGUGGUAAGACCGGGGUGUAUGCAACACAUCCAAACUUACACAAACAAGAAAUAAUAGGAGGAUUCACGCGUAGCAAUUACAAAGAAAAUACUAUGAUAUGCAGUUGGCUUUCAUUGUAUCAAGUUGCUACAAAGAAAAUACUAUGAUAUGCAGUUGGCUUCCAUUGUAUCAAGUCAGCAACAUGUAAAAUAGCAUGACCCCAAAUAGGAGUUGGCAAAUUGCAAUUCAUCAACAAAGACCAUGCAAUGAAUUUGAUGUUCUUAAUUAAGACAAACCAUUUUGUAUAUGAGCAUAUGGUACAGGAUGUUAAACUUCAAUUCCUAAAGCCAUUCAAUAAUCAAUGAAAGCACACCAGGAGAAUUCUCGAAUUGACUUAAUUCAUCUUUCUCAAUAAUGGGCUUUCAACUAAAUGACUUUCUUGUAAAUAAAAGACACAACAGCUGUUGCAAUAAUCUUGGGAGAUGCAAGGUUCCAUGUAAAUAAAAGACACAACAGCUCGUUUGGCCGAUUACACAAAACAUGUUUUGCUCGACAUGGAUUUGUCAAUCUGAACAACAAACAGAUAGAUGUGCUGUUGCAACUUGCAAGUAAAAGAAAACCGCAACCGAGACACUCAUGUAUGAUCGUCCUGGUCUCAGCAACAGCUCGCUGAUCUGGCAUGGGCACGCCAACAAGGCCUGGUUCGUCGGUCGGCUCCAGCAUGGGCUCAACCUCAUCACCAUCGCACAUUUCCGUCAGCAUCCAGCAUCCUCACCGCCAUCGGCAGCAUCCGCCUUCUCCACGAUCUGACCGACGGUGAGGAGGUGACCUUGGCAAGCAGCGGCGUAGGGGUGACCUUGGCACUCUGGCUAGGAGGAGAGGAGAGGGACCACGAUGUAGGAGAGGGAUUGGGAUGGAGGUGUGGGGAAGAUGCGUCAAAUCCACAGGAAGUGUGGGGAAAGAUUUCGGCCUAGCUAUGGUAACCUUUCGCUGGAAUUGUGGAAUGAAUUCCUAUGCCCAAAUCUGUGACAGCCAAACGCGUUGAGUUCGGAAUUCAAAAAUGAAAUCCAUGAAUUCCAGACCAAAUGAUAUGCCAAACGAGCUGUAAAAUGUAUAAGGUGAUCAGAUAGGAGCGAAAGACUAUUCUUGUUCAAGUAAACAUUAUUACUUAAUCAUAUGAACUAUGCACUUGGGUUCAUCAUAACCUUGUGAAAAACCAAUAUUAGAAAGCAAGAACGAGAAUGACAGAAAUAUGUAAGAAAAAUCAUAGAAACAUUGUGCCAUAUGAAGAAAAUUCAGACACAUGCUUAGAAAGAAGCAAUAUCUUAGAAAGAAGCAAUAUUGUUGGGCGCAUAGCUUAGAAAGAAGCAAAAUCUUAGAAAGAAGCACUAUCGUUGGCCGCUAGAGAAGAUUAGAUCAUUCCACAUGAAGCAAAUUCAGACAUGCAUGGUCUAUAAUUUAGUCUCUAAUCCCCACUAACGUACACAAACUACUUAAACCCAAACACAUCAGCAGAGGGAAAACAUUUUGAUGCAGAAGAGGACACAGAAUAUGGGAGAUGAUACAACAGAAUGGUCGACCAAAAGAAGAUGCCAGUUACCAUGAACGAGACCAAAUAUCAAUUGUCACCGUCCUCAACAAGAUGGAAAAUCAAGGACGAACAAAAAAAGGAUGACAAACAAGCACACAAAUUGCAACAUGCUCAAGACACAAAAUCCUGCAGUUUCUAGUGAAAGCAAGCACUAUUUCUACGCUGGACAAGAAUCAACAAUGACCAGAACUUGAGAUGGUAGAACUACUGCCCAAUGCUACAGGACUGCAGAAUCAUACAAAAAAAAGGAACAAAUGGUAAAGAGCUGUUGGAAGGUUGGUAAGCAUAGGAACAAAUGGUAAAUAGCUGUAGGAAGGUUGGUAAGCGGGUUGCCCAAUGAUAUUGGCAGGCCGACCAGAUUUCCUUCCUUAGUGGUUUGACUACAGCCGAUUCUGGCAGGCAAGACGAUGGUACAAAGAACCAAAGCCAUGGUACAAUGCAGCCCUAAUGCUGCUUCAAUAGAUGAGCAAAUGGUUUUUAAGUGCACUGUUGAGACGUCAGACAAUGCUUUCUAGGCAAAUGCAUCUCCGUCAGGACGCAACAAUGUUUGCUGCUCGGAGCCCAGUGCAGAUCUUCAUCCAUACCACAACAUUUGAUUCCGAAUCCCUUUAAACAACUGAAUUUUGAAGUGUCUCAAAAAAUAACAUAUUAAAGAAUGCAACAAAAUUCAAGUGGACAUUCGAAAGCUGUUCGAUUUGGCUUCAGAAUUGCAGAAAGACAGCAUGGACACAUACAUAGUGACCGAUCAGUCCCGAAAGAUGGUAUGAUUAAUAGGUUUUUCAUCACCAGCCAAGCUAAAUCAAUUAAAUGGUUUCACCAGCAGUAGCAAAAAGAACUCAGGAUUUAGGAAAUGUCAAAAAAAAAAAAAUUAAAUAGUGGAAGACAAGGAAACAGUACUCAACAAUCAAAGAGGGCAUGACAGAAAACAAAGACAGACACUAAUCAAGUUGAUCUCAGAAUUGCAGAAUGACAGCAUGGACGCAUAGCGACCAAUCAGUCCCGAAAGAUGGUAUGAUUAAUAGGUUUUUCAUCACUGGCCAAACUUGAACAAAUGUCAAGAACAGAAAAUACAGACAAGCAUACAACUACCAACUACAAGAUAUAACAAAUGCACAUACAAAAGGUUAAAAUAGAAAACAAGGUAAAAUGAGAAAAAUGAUUUGAGCAAACCAUGUAAGAUUUGCCUACAAAACUUUCCAAUUAGCCACACAGGCCCACACAUAGUGGUGCGAAUCAUGCUAGUCCUACAAGAAGACCUCAAAGCAUAAAUUUCAUCAAAAGGAGGAGUGCAUAUAGCAAAGGCAUAGAAAUAACAAUUAGAUGCAUAUGAAAUGACAGGAAAAUGAUUGUUGGCGAAAGAGACUAUCAAGCUCAACCCAACUGCCCACUUUCCUCAAAUUAAUAUUGCAGGAAAUACUUUCAGUAAUGAAUGCAGAGCAAAAGCAUUUAACCAAUACACACCUAUCCUGCAGAGGCAGCAUACCGAAGGCAUAAAAUUAACAAUGAGAUACAUUUGAAGGAAUAUAAUGAGUGGAAAAUGAUUGUUGGCAAAAGAGAUUAUCAAGCUCAACCCAACUGCCCACUUUCCACAAAUUAAUAUAGCAGGAAACACUUUCAGUAAGAAAUGCACAUCAAAAGGCAUUUAACCGAUACACACUUAUCCUGCAAAUGCAACAAGGAGAGAAAUAGCAAAACAAAUUCUUAUGCAAAGAAGAUAGAUUCAGAAGCAGUCACCUCACAUAGGAAGGACAAUGAGAGGAAAAUGAUUGUUGGUGACAGAGAUUAUCAAGCUCAACCCAACUGCCCACUUUCCACAAAUUAAUAUAGCAGGAAUUACUUUCAGUAACAAAUGCAUAGCAAAAGCAUUUAACUGAUACACACUUAUCCUGCAAAGACUAAAAGGGAGGAAAAGGUAAAGGAAACAAAAUCGAUAUGGAAGCGACAACAAUCACGCAAAAAGCAGAGAUGACAGAUUAGAAGGGAGGGAAGUGAUUGUCGUGGAAAGCAAUUAAAAGCUUAGGACACUGAAGUGUAUAAUCCGAUGCAAACUAUACUGUACAAUGUGCAUAAAACUUUGCAUCAUAGAACCUACGAAUUACUAAUCAUAGUUUUUUUCACUUGCAUAUAACAUAAAAGAACAGAAGGUAACACAAAUAUAAAAAGCAAGUUGUAGCUCUUAGGUUUAAUUAUCACUGUAUAUCAGAUAACACAUUCUAACAAUACCAUAGCAACAUGAAAUUUGGAAAUAUAUAUUGGUUACUGUCGUUUGAACUUCAAAAGAUGAAGCCAAUAAAUAAAAA